Molecule: long non-coding RNA, 640 nt
Filed under: Homo sapiens (human)
Lineage: Eukaryota; Metazoa; Chordata; Mammalia; Primates; Hominidae
Description: HSALNT0351773
Source: RNAcentral
UUUGGAUUCAGCCCGCCUGCACCCAGGUGAAAUAAACAGCCUUGUUGCUCACACAAAGCCUGUUUGGUGUUCUCUUCACGCGGAUGUGACAGACAUCUGGUGCCGAAGACCCGGGUCAGAGGGACUCCUUCAGGAGACCAGUCCCCUGUCCUCACCCUCACUCCAUGAAGAGAUCCACCUAUGUAUGACCCUGGGUCCUCAGACCAACCAGCCCAAGGAACAUCUCACCAAUUUCAAAUUGGAUCUUCUCGGCUCAGUGGCUGAAGACUGACGUUGCCUGAUCACCUCGGAAGCCUCCUGGACCAUCACAGACGCUUUGGGUAACUCUUACAGUGGAGGGAUACAAUUGAAGACACUGGUUAUUUUACCAAGGCUUUGAUUGGAAUGGCUUACUUUCAGAUAUAAAUCAACUGCUUUAAGGAAUCAAAGUUGACUUACAGAGUCAUAAAAGCCCCUUGGGAAAGCUGGCCUCAUGCCUUUCCACACAGUUCCUGUACAGUUUCCUGACGUGUGUUAUGCUGUGCUUUCUUAAAACCCUGUGAACUGAAGCUACACAACUUAAACUUCAGAAGAAAAUAACAGCAACCUAUAUGCCAGCCUACUGAUGUAUGAACUUCAGAGAAAAAUGGCUCUAUCUUUU